GCUGCACUUCAUUCAGUGACGAAAGGAAGACGUGAUGAGAUGGGACAACCAGGUUUUGAGAGAAUGCUUGACUUGGCAUAAGACCAAUUUUAUUAGCCAAGAAUGACAAGACACAUUGAACAGAGGUGUCAGACUUGUGAGAAGUAUAUAAAAUAGGAUUCCAAAGCAGAGAGGGCAGUUGAACGAAUGAAGAAAGUGACCUCUGCUCUGAAGUCAGCUUGUGCACUUAGUUUCUGUCCCUGGAAUCAGACACAGUGAGAAUCAGAAACAUUUCCUUAAUACAGCAAAGUAAUCACAACAUGAUGCCCAAGAAAGAGACUGGCACCACAUGGAACAUUCUAUAAGUGUGAGGCCAUCUUGACCCAGCCUCCUUUGCUUUGGAAUUUCUAAACAUGUCAGGAAAUUUGUUGAUCUACCCCCUCCAAGUGUUUGGAUCUCGGAAGGCAGACCAGUCUUAUUCCUACUGACACUCUCCAAGCACCUCCUCCCAACUUCAGGACCAGCUUUUAUAGCACUGUGGUGUAAUUUUUAAGAGCACAAAAUGGAGAUAAAUCAAAGUGGUCCAAUACCAACACCAUGAAUUACAAGCUGUGUAAUCUUGAGUAAAUUACUUAACCUCUCUGAGC
RNAcentral lists this long non-coding RNA (626 nucleotides) under Homo sapiens (human). RNAcentral describes it as "long non-coding RNA NONHSAT201430". The record is from RNAcentral. Lineage: Eukaryota; Metazoa; Chordata; Mammalia; Primates; Hominidae.